GCAACGAGUGAUGAUAAACAUUUUCAAACGGAAAAUUACGAAAAUAAAAUGAGAAACGAUUGUGUUGUGCACGAAACCCAAAAGAAAUACGUACGAAGUAUCAAAACAAAGUGUUUACAAGUGAUGCGAUAAUAAAGUGUGAACGAAAUACAAAAAAAGAAAUUAAAGCGGCAAAAUGUAACGGGAAAGAAGAACUGUUGAAAAAUUGUUGAGAAAAUUUGUGAAACUAACAUUUAUUCAGAAGGAAGCGAAAUGAAGAUAAUAGAGGGAAAGAAAAAGGCAACACCAACAACAACAACAUGAAACCACUAAAACAAGAUUUAGUCUCCAUUCAGAUGUUCUAUUCAAUUUUUGGUUUUUGGCUUAGUCAGCAAGAAAAGUGACAACACUUGGGAGAUGACUUGGUCGGUUGGUGGGUUGGCUGGCUAGAUGGCUGGAAAGGCCGGUUGACCAGAAAAAAAAAAAACCAACAGAGAGAAACUACUAAAGUGACAUCUAGCAAAACCACUAAAAUGUGGGCAAGGAGAGGCAGAAAAAAGUGACAUGGGAGGAAGAAUCAUCCUUGGUAAUUUGGCUAGAUGUCUAUGUUGCCGUAAAACAAAAUUUCCAAAAACAAAACGGAUAACAGGAGGAAACAACAGCAUUUUGUGGCCACAAAUACAAAUUAUUGAAAAAUAAUAACAUCAAAAGGCAGAAAUGAGAAGAGACAGAUCAGGCUGGAAAUUCCGUAUAAAUUUACUACACAAUAUUAAAGCCAAGAAUAGAAUUUUAUAUCUCCCCCAUCCAUAUCCCAAAAUCUUAAGAUAAUUUUGAGAGACCAGAUGUAAAAAAUGGAAGCUUGGAAUAUCAGAAUACUUACACAUCUAUGUGGACAUCUAUAAAGCUAUGGCUUGGUUAUUGCGUUUUCAAUACGGAGAAG
Molecule: long non-coding RNA, 919 nt
Organism: Musca domestica (house fly)
Lineage: Eukaryota; Metazoa; Arthropoda; Insecta; Diptera; Muscidae
Exons: 3
Source: RefSeq, a predicted model, not a curated record